UCAGGGAAUUUGGAUUUAGCAGUUGAAGUUCCUGUAGGAGAAGAUUUAAACGAAUGGUUUGCUGUCAAUACUAUAGAAUUCUAUAAUGAAAUUAACCUGAUCUAUGGAGCCUUGACUGAGUUCUGCACUCCUGAAUCGUGUCCUGUUAUGUCAGCUGGGCCUAAGUACGAGUACUUGUGGGCAGAU
RNAcentral lists this ribosomal RNA (186 nucleotides) under Blepharisma japonicum. Its description in RNAcentral is "partial Eukaryotic small subunit ribosomal RNA". Lineage: Eukaryota; Ciliophora; Heterotrichea; Heterotrichida; Blepharismidae. The record is from RNAcentral.